Hypanus sabinus (Atlantic stingray) is the source of this 657-nucleotide long non-coding RNA. RefSeq lists it as uncharacterized. The transcript is spliced from 3 exons. Lineage: Eukaryota; Metazoa; Chordata; Chondrichthyes; Myliobatiformes; Dasyatidae. The record is from RefSeq and is a predicted model, not a curated record.
CAGGAACAGCAGCUUUUCAGUCUGUGAUCAGACAGACCCUGGAGAGGGGCCAUGGUGGGACUUUGGGGCUGGAGAAUGAACAGUGAAGACGGACACAGAGAUUGGGAACGGAGGAGACAACAGAGGGAAAAGAGCAAAGAAGGCGAAAGAAGAUGGUCUACCAAUUUCAGUCUCGAAUGUAAAAGCACUAAAGUCUUCAGAUUGCUACAAAAUCUUCUGAUUCCUGGAAGACAAACAUGCGUAGAUAAUGGGAUAAGGAUUUGCGCAUUUGAUUUUUGAAGGGCCGAUUGGCUGAGGUAACAAAAGUUGCUCAGUAGAAUUGUAGCAAGUUAGCAGUGAAGGACAGUAAGAAACAAAAAAAUCAGAAUCAGGUUUAAUAUCACCAGAAUAUGUUGUGAAAUUUGUUAACUUUGUGGCAGCAGUACAAUGUAAUACAUGAUAAUAGAGAGAUAAAGAAAACUGUGAAUUACAGUAAAUGCAAACAAGAGAAAACCUACAGAUGCUGGAAAUCCAAGCACACAUACAAAAUGCUGGAGGAACUCAGUAGGCCAGGCAGCUUCUAUGGAAAAAAGUACAGAUGAUGCUUUGGACUGAAACCCUUCAGCAGGACUGUACAUAUAUGUAUAUGUAUACCUGUGUGUGUAUUAAAUAGUUAAA